Long non-coding RNA from Zingiber officinale, 815 nucleotides. RefSeq lists it as uncharacterized. NCBI's taxonomy places the organism in Eukaryota, Viridiplantae, Streptophyta, Magnoliopsida, Zingiberales, Zingiberaceae. The record is from RefSeq and is a predicted model, not a curated record. The transcript has 3 exons.
CUUUUCCGUUUUCCCUUUUCUUUUUCUUCUCUUCAUCGCCGAGCUUGUGCCCUAAUCCUCCCGAUCGUCGUCCCUUCUUCUCCCCUCUUCUCUUCUUCUCCACUACGGCUCCUCCACCCGACGGCGCCGCCGCGACCCUUCUUCUCCCACGCAAAUAAAAUCCAUCAACCCAGGGAAAAGCCAAGCCUAUUCCUCUCCCCUUCUCCCGAGCUCUACCCUAGCCUCUCCACAGUCCGCCACCAUUGAACGGAGCAGUGUUGACCACCAGAUCUCUCCGGCGUGCCCCGUCGUGCCCUAGAUUGGGUCCAUUGUCGCCAAGCCCUAAGCCACCAACACCAUCUCUUUAUCUUCCUCUGAUCACAGCCGACACUAACUCCCUACCUCUCACGAUCUCUCUCCCUCGCGCACGAAGUCGUCCCCUCUCAGCCGAUCGCCGGUCGCCAGCGUCUGCCACCUACUGACGGCAACCUCCCCCUUCUCUGGAGGCCAGAUCGGUGACGCAGCCGAGCACCCACGUAUGUUGGUCGUGCCCUAGACCUCACCACCGGUCUUCCUUUUUUCCAUUAGUUGCCAGUAGAGAGGAAACCAGGGCUAUCGAAUUAGCAACUUCUCCAAAUUUCAGUAGUGGUCUCUUCAGGAUUGGAUCAGUGGCUGAGGCAUCAAUUUCGGGUUGAAGCUGUCAGGAUGUUCCCGUCGCUAGUCCCCACCCUGAGUCGGGACGAUUUUCAACCUUUAGACUUGUAGUUUCCGUGUUAUAUUUUUAUAUAUUUGUGAUGUAUUACUGUACUUGUGGAUUUUUAUCGAGUUUUGGUCUA